Xiphophorus hellerii (green swordtail) is the source of this 1289-nucleotide long non-coding RNA. RefSeq lists it as uncharacterized. NCBI's taxonomy places the organism in Eukaryota, Metazoa, Chordata, Actinopteri, Cyprinodontiformes, Poeciliidae. The transcript has 2 exons. The record is from RefSeq and is a predicted model, not a curated record.
GAAAGGCAGCUGCUGAUGCAGCUCUAGUUCAAACUUCACCUCGCAGAAAGGAGGGAUAAGAUCCUGCUUUAUACCAGGAUCUCCAAUGUUUAUAGAAAGAAUUGUUGAAGUUUUUUGUAUGAUUUAUUUAUUCAAAGCAGAGGUCAAUUUAACGCUAAUUUUUGCAACUUUUGAAGCUUUUCACAUUUUAUCCCAUUCCAACCACAAACUCUUGUGUAUUUUACUAGGAUUUUAUGACAGAGCGACACAAAGUACUGUAUAUUUAUCGAGUGGAAGGAAAAGGAUGCAUUCAUCCAUCAGACUGGAUAGAGAACAUCUGUGAACAUCAAUUUCAAGACUUACUACAGAUUCUCAACUGGAUUUCUAGCAUAUAAAUAUGCUGGAAAGUGCUUGCAAGCCAAAAAAUAUAAUUCUUCAAACCUAACAUCACCAAAGAUGCUGGGGUUUUUUUUCCUACGUUCAAAACUAUAAACUAAUCAUGAACUAUUUUAAUUAAACAAAUGAUGUGAUUUGUGAUUGUCCAUCCAAAACUUGAAUUGGUUUUUGCAUGCUUCCCUUAUAAAACUGAAGCCAUCCAGUUUGCUUAUUAAUCUGGACUCGAUUGAAGAAAACUAAAAAAUAUUUAGUCCUUUCUCAGCAAUAAAAACAGCAUCUAGGUCACUCUACAUUGAAAACACUUGCUGCAGUUAGCCAGGUUGUAAUACAGCAACUAAAAGCAGAUUUGUGUGCACAAAGAUGUAACUUAAAGCAUAGCCAAUGAGUAAAGUCAAAGAGCAUUAAUAACUUUCCAAGGCACUGAAUUUGCGUUUAUUGGUCCAAAAGGUUUCCAACCUAUGACUAUCAUGUUUCUUCACCCUUGUCAGUUGUUUCCACGCUCAUGCAGGGUGUCUGCGCCUCCUUAAAAUGUCUUAAAUCCAUGUAACUAAUAAAUUAAAACCUUAAAAUAUCUUAAAUACAUUAAUCACAUCUUAAAUUUGGUUGUGGCAGGACUAAUUUUGUAUAUUCUAUGUUGCUAUUUUUUCUGGCAUGACUUUUCUGUCAGGCAAAAGUUUGAGUCGCACAUCUUUAUUACAUUGUUUGACUUGAGGCUGAGCUGCUAAUGUAGCCUCGCUAGCUAGGUUGUAGAGAGCCAUAUGCAGUGUGAGAAGCAUAAAGCUGCUGCCAAGAACCACAAACAGACCCUGGAAAUGUCACAGUUGUGAUACUGGUGUUAAAUUUAAUUCACAAUGGUCUUAAAAAGGUCCUUAAAAGUUGUUAAAUUUGAGUUGGAGAAGCCUGCAGAAACCCUG